UGGUUCUGUAAUGAGGGAUGGUGUUCUAGU
RNAcentral lists this non-coding RNA (30 nucleotides) under Mus musculus (house mouse). RNAcentral also lists the same sequence under 1 other name. Lineage: Eukaryota; Metazoa; Chordata; Mammalia; Rodentia; Muridae. The record is from RNAcentral.